UACGGGAGGCAGCAGUAGGGAAUCUUCCGCAAUGGACGAAAGUGUGACGGAGCAACGCCGCGUGAGUGAUGAAGGCUUUCGGGUCGUAAAACUCUGUUGUUAGGGAAGAACAAGUACAAGAGUAAAUGCUUGUACCUUGACGGUACCUAACCAGAAAGCCACGGCUAACUACGUGCCAGCAGCCGCGGUAAUACGUAGGUGGCAAGCGUUAUCCGGAAUUAUUGGGCGUAAAGCGCGCGCAGGCGGUUUCUUAAGUCUGAUGUGAAAGCCCACGGCUCAACCGUGGAGGGUCAUUGGAAACUGGGGAACUUGAGUGCAGAAGAGAAAAGCGGAAUUCCACGUGUAGCGGUGAAAUGCGUAGAGAUGUGGAGGAACACCAGUGGCGAAGGCGGCUUUUUGGUCUGUAACUGACGCUGAGGCGCGAAAGCGUGGGGAGCAAACAGGAUUAGAUACCCUGGUAGUCCACGCCGUAAACGAUGAGUGCUAAGUGUUAGAGGGUUUCCGCCCUUUAGUGCUGCAGCUAACGCAU
RNAcentral lists this ribosomal RNA (529 nucleotides) under uncultured Bacillota bacterium. Its description in RNAcentral is "bacterial SSU rRNA". It matches the Rfam family "Bacterial small subunit ribosomal RNA", at positions 340 to 860 of the family's 1533-position model. The record is from RNAcentral. Lineage: Bacteria; Bacillati; Bacillota.